AUAUGCCCUCAAGCUCAAGGUGCCGCUCUUGCUAGGGAAGAGCGGAAAAUUGGGAAGCCGGCGAGGGUUUUACCACCCUGAUCCGGCGCUGCCCCCGCAACGGUGGUGGAGUGUCGAGGCAUGGCAAAUGCCACUGGGAAAGAAGCCGCAAAGGCCGCCUGGGAAGGUGUCAUGCCGGUCCUUCGGGACAGCUCCUGAGCCCGGAAACCAGCCUUGAACGAUAAGUCAUG
This 230-nucleotide non-coding RNA is filed under the name Rhizobium sp. The record is from RNAcentral. RNAcentral also lists the same sequence under 1 other name. Lineage: Bacteria; Pseudomonadati; Pseudomonadota; Alphaproteobacteria; Hyphomicrobiales; Rhizobiaceae.